Molecule: ribosomal RNA, 468 nt
Filed under: uncultured bacterium
Lineage: Bacteria
Description: partial 16S ribosomal RNA
Rfam family: Bacterial small subunit ribosomal RNA
Source: RNAcentral
GACGAACGCUGGCGGCGUGCUUAACACAUGCAAGUCGAACGGAAAGGCCCUGCUUUUGUGGGGUGCUCGAGUGGCGAACGGGUGAGUAACACGUGAGUAACCUGCCCUUGACUUUGGGAUAACUUCAGGAAACUGGGGCUAAUACCGGAUAGGAGCUCCUGCUGCAGGGUGGGGGUUGGAAAGUUUCGGCGGUUGGGGAUGGACUCGCGGCUUAUCAGCUUGUUGGUGGGGUAGUGGCUUACCAAGGCUUUGACGGGUAGCCGGCCUGAGAGGGUGACCGGCCACAUUGGGACUGAGAUACGGCCCAGACUCCUACGGGAGGCAGCAGUGGGGAAUAUUGCACAAUGGGCGGAAGCCUGAUGCAGCAACGCCGCGUGCGGGAUGACGGGCUUCGGGUUGUAAACCGAUUUCGCCUGUGACGAAGCGUGAGUGACGGUAAUGGGUAAAGAAGCACCGGCUAACUACGUG